This 274-nucleotide ribosomal RNA is filed under the name uncultured bacterium. Its description in RNAcentral is "partial 16S ribosomal RNA". It matches the Rfam family "Bacterial small subunit ribosomal RNA", at positions 523 to 796 of the family's 1533-position model. The record is from RNAcentral.
AUACGGAGGGUGCAAGCGUUACUCGGAAUCACUGGGCGUAAAGCGCGCGCAGGCGGCUUGAUAAGUUGGAUGUGAAAGCCUACGGCUCAACCGUAGAACUGCAUCCAAAACUAUUUGGCUAGAGUGUGGGAGAGGAAGAUGGAAUUAGUUGUGUAGGGGUAAAAUCCGUAGAGAUAACUAGGAAUACCAAAAGCGAAGGCAAUCUUCUGGAACAUUACUGACGCUGAGGCGCGAAAGCGUGGGGAGCAAACAGGAUUAGAUACCCCGGUAGUCC